GCAGUCUCUGCAGUCUCACGAUCGAACGUGUACUGGUAUUACUUUAUGCUACUUGUCAAGCUCGCUGUCGUAUAACAACCGUAUUAAGACGAAUCUCUAUGCUGGCACGGCAUGACAAUUUAGGGGGAGUGAUGCGCCAUCGUGAAGAUAGAUAAAAACCAACCAAUCCAACCAUUAGAGCAAUCCAGAAGCCUGCAACAUAAAGCGAAUCGGUCUCAGGUAGUGCAGCAAUCCUAAGAGGAGAAGCCAGGUCCAGAACGAAAGAAAUACGAUUAGCAGUAGCAGCCGACGAGUGGGUAUCAGCGAAAUCCGAGAAAGCACCGAUUUAUCGCAAUGGUGAUGGUGACUCGCUGAUUAGCAGACAGAAAUCAGCAUACGAUUCGCUACGUUAUUGUAAGUUUUUAGCAAUUAAGAAAAGCGCAUAAACAUUGUCGAAGAGCGAGAUUAGUCGUCCCGUGAAAAGAAACGCGUCGUUACAUAACGAACCGGUCCGACGAGCGUCUAGGCCUAACCUCCUAAGCCCUUUAAGCAGAAAAAGCGUACGUAGAAAUCUAAAAGCGCAUUAUUCUAGCGAAAGCUCUCCGACCGAAACCAGAGUUACAUCCGGAUACAGUUGAUUGAGCGCGUAUUCCUGUUCGAGGGACACAGAUACCAGUUCAAUACAAUAAGUUAAUUGCUUUAAUGAAAAUAGACUACGCCCGAUAGGAACUUAGGCAUGAUCGGAGAACUCAGGCUGAACGAACAGUAGAAUCUCGCAUAUAAGAGAGUUGUCGCUAACAUUUUACGAUAACAACGUAUUUCACCUGAAAGAAUUCUACCACGUCACGUGAAGAGGCAAUACUCUGUAUGAAAUUAAAAGGAAAAACAAUGAUCAACUUUGAAAUUAGGGAUAUAGGAAGUUGUCCACAACUUUAAGCGAAGUUAGAAAGUUAUUUAAGAAAACAAAGCACUAUUCGUCUACAGAUUGAAUUUAAUUCAUUAAAGCAGAAACUUAGCGAGAGUGUACGCGCAUACGGACUCAGAGUCGACCAUUUACUAAUAGAAUAAUACAAAUUAGUGACAGAAAGCUAAAGGUACAGUAGCGAGCAGAAACGCGUCACUAUCCAAAAACAGGUCGAAGUCUUUCGCACCAAGAAGAAUAAAGAAUUCGACACUGAAUUCCAGGCUGAAAUUAAAAAUAUCAGAAUGUCACUUGGGUAUUCGUGGCACAAUAGAUGUCGGACUCUUGAAAUUAUUAAACCACAACGUGAAAUUCCUAUUGAUACGGAUAUCCUUGGUGAUUUGUGUAAGUUAAUCGCUGAAGUAUUGCAUGGCACAUGCAACAUUGCACCUGCGCACCUUGAUCCAAUUCUAAAAAAGGCUCUUGAUAAAAAAGAAUCCAUUGAAUAUGACGCUGAAACACUUAUGUGGGUGUCUGCCUUGCAAGUUGAAAGUAAGAUGUUUGCAGCAAGACGCCAUACUAAUUUUCCCCCUAACUUGGAUCGGGAAGUGUUUUCCCGUGUUGAGCGUACCAACACGCUCCUUUCAGAUACUCUUUACCCAUUGGCAGUAGUUCUUAAUGAGAUUGGUCAAUUUACCGUUGAAGGCCAAAUGUUUGUACCUCGCUAUAAUGGUGAGCGUGAUUUUUCUUAUCAUAAGCUAUUCAAUGAUCAAAAUAAAUCGCGCAGUCAUUUCAAGAACUUGGUUACACCUCCUAUAUUACUUGGAUCGUCUGAGACUUUUCCGACCUUUGAGGAAAUCCGUAAUCGAUAUGUUAAGCUGAAAGGUCGUAUGUAUGCAGCUAAGCUGUAUAAUGUGUUUCGUCCCGUUGAAAUGUCAGAGAGAAGAGGCGGUAAAUCUCAACUAGUUUACCGUCAGCGACAAGGCGAUUCUGACGAUUUCAAAGUUUGGUCUCCAAGACGUGUUGGAUCCGAUUCUUUAGAAAUUGGUGCGAUUUUAAGAUUUGGAUAUCCAAAUCCGCUUGGCGAUAUUAGUGUCGCUGCAGAGAUGACUUUUACUAGUAAUACAUCUGUUGGUUUGUCGUUCUUGGUAGAUGAGUUGAUUUAUAAUAAGUUAGUCAGAUAACUUUAUCUUCCUGUGUGUGACGCGUUGAUCCGAGAAAUCAUGAUCGAAAAUACGCAGUAUGGGUUUUCUAUUUAUGUAACCGUCUACUACCGUCAGGUUUUCGAAUUUAAGAUCCGUUGUACGGAUGCUCUCCAAUCCUGCAACUCCUCGAGAUGUCCGGCGAUAUUUUUACGAUCGCUCACCACUUCCUGGUGCUAAGUGGGGUGGAGAUCCAGCACCCCAAGCGCAUGGGCGUAGAUUAAGUGAGGGUGAUCUUGCUGCACCAAUUCGAGUAGACGUUGGUGAUUUCCCGGUGCUGUUAAACCCUGAUGACUUUAUGCCACAGGAGUAUUCACGCGACAACGAUCUUCUCGCUGAUGUCUCGGCCAUUCAAAACCUUUUGCAGUGUAUUGGACGGAAAUAUUCUAAGUACGUCUAUUGUCAUCGGAUUGAAUACAGAGGCAUGGGUCAGGCAUCGCUUCUGGUCAGCAACGGCACGGGAACCCUUCGUUGCCACGAUCUUCCCCGAGUGCGCGACGAUUCUAUGGAAAUAGACUUUGCCGCGAGGAUGGGUUUAACUGGAGAGACCAGUCACUUUUGGACACCAGAGUGCUUGACAAAUCCCGAAUUCUAUCUCGGAAUUGCUCAUCUUCUCGGUGAACAACCGCAUAAGACAUCUGAUGCUUACGCGAUUCGCUCAUCUACAAUUGCGAAGAAAACGGCUCGUAUGCAGUAUAUAGCUGUCUUAUGCAACUUAAACAACUCAAUUAUGUUUUAACAAUUAAAGAAUUCGACACUGAAUUCCAGGCUGAAAUUAAAAAUAUCAGAAUGUCACUUAGGUAUUCGUUGCCCAGUAAAUGUUAGACUUCUGCAAUUAUUAAACAUUAACGUGAAAUUCCCAUUGAUACGGAUAUCCUUGGUGAUUUGUGCAAGUUAGUCGCUAAAGUAUUGCAUUGCGCAUCCAACAUUGCACCUGCGCUUGAUCCAAUUCUAAAAAAGACUCUUGAUAAAAAAAAAUCCAUUGAAUAUGACGUUGAAACACUUAUGUGGGUGUCUGCAAGUUGAAAGUAAGAUGUUUGCAGCAAGAUGCAAUACCAACUUUCCCUCUAAUUUGGAAGUGUUUUCCCGUGUUAACCGUAUCAAGUUUAACUUUCCAGAUACUCUUUUCCUAUUGGCCAUUGGCAGUAGUUCUUAAUUAGAUUGGUUAUUUUACCAUUGAAGGACAAAUGUUUGUACCUCGCUAUAAUGGUGAGCGUGAUUUUUCCUUAUCAUGAGCUAUUCAAUUAUCAAAAUAAAUCGCGCAGUCAUUUCAAGAACUUGGUCACACCUCCUCUAUAUUACUUGGAUCGGCUGAGACUUUUCCGACCUUUGAUGAUAUCAGUGUUCGAUAUGUUAAACUGAAACCUUGUGUGUAUGUAGCUAAGCUUCAUCCCGUUGAUAUGUCAAAGGGAAGAGGCGGUGAAUCUCUACUAGUUUGCCGUCAGCGAAUAGGUGACAAUUCUGACGAUUUCGAUGUUUGGUCUCCAAGACAUGUUGGACCCGAUUCUUUAGAAAUGGGUGCGAUUUUUUUAUUUGGAUACCUAAAUCCGCUUGGCGAUAAAAGUGAUGAUCGCUACAGAGAUGAUUUAUACUAGUAAUACAGCUGUUGGUUUAUUGUAUUUGGCCAAUGAGUUGAUUGCAGAUCAGAGCUGACUCGGGUUUAUAAUAAGUUAGUCAGAUAACUUUUUCUUCCUGUGUGAUGCGUUGAUCCGAGAAAUCAUGUUCGAAAAUACGCAGUAUAGGUUUUCUAUCUAUGUAACCGUCUAGUUGCACUACACUGUCCUAUUCUCCCUACGACCCUUUGACCAGUAACCGUUGAAAUGCUCAUCAAUGUAAAGAUGUUUGCCCAUUCGCGAUAAAUCUUUACGAUGUAUCUCGUUAUCAUUCUCCGACGACAAACUUUUACACACACCCUUCCGUGAGGUAGCGCAUGAACCCGAGCAAAGGAUUGAUUGCAGUUGAUGUAUGAUGAAGCGAAAACUUACGAUAGACUAAACAAGCAAACGAAAAAAAAAAACGGGCGAGCCAAGAUCACAGGAUUCGAAGUAAGAUAACUUGAAUCCUUAUCUGACAGAAAGCUCAUCAUCAUUCAGUACUCUACAAAAGAAGCAGAAUCUGACUAUACCGUGUCCGUACCACGUACCGUAUGAAGUAUAGCAAUUUAGCUACGAGCUAGAAAUUUAUUUUG
Temnothorax curvispinosus is the source of this 4270-nucleotide long non-coding RNA. RefSeq lists it as uncharacterized. The record is from RefSeq and is a predicted model, not a curated record. Lineage: Eukaryota; Metazoa; Arthropoda; Insecta; Hymenoptera; Formicidae. The transcript is spliced from 2 exons.